UACGUAGGGGGCUAGCGUUGUCCGGAAUCAUUGGGCGUAAAGCGCGUGUAGGCGGCUUGGUAAGUCUGCUGUGAAAGUCGGGGGCUCAACCCUCGGAUGCCGGUGGAUACUGUCAAGCUCGAGUACGGAAGAGGCGAGUGGAAUUCCUGGUGUAGCGGUGAAAUGCGCAGAUAUCAGGAGGAACACCAAUUGCGAAGGCAGCUCGCUGGGACGUUACUGACGCUGAGACGCGAAAGCGUGGGGAGCAAACAGG
This 253-nucleotide ribosomal RNA is filed under the name uncultured bacterium. Its description in RNAcentral is "partial 16S ribosomal RNA". It matches the Rfam family "Bacterial small subunit ribosomal RNA", at positions 524 to 776 of the family's 1533-position model. The record is from RNAcentral.